CAGAUCGCGGAUAGCAGCGGGGAGAUGCUGCCGUCCAGGACGGCGAAACGAGACAGUUUGCCACUAAACUGGACACUUCUUUCAUAUUCGUCCAAACAUGGAUAAUAACGACACAUAUCUCCAUCUCAGUUCUUCGUUGCAGGUAGCACAUGGUCACCUGAGUUCUCCUCCGUCCCAGCCUCCUCUGAGCUCCAUGGUGUCGCACCAUCACCCAUCCAUCAUCAACGGUCUGGGGUCUCCAUACUCAGUCAUCACCUCCUCCUCCCUGGGCUCGCCUUCGGCCUCUAUGCCCACCACUUCCAACAUGGGCUAUGGAGCACUCAACAGUCCACAGAUGAACUCUCUGAACAGUGUUAGCAGCUCAGAGGACAUUAAACCUCCUCCAGGACUGGCAGGACUGGGCAGUUACCCUUGCGGCAGCCCCGGGUCCCUCUCCAAACACAUCUGUGCCAUUUGUGGAGACCGAUCCUCAGGGAAACAUUAUGGUGUUUACAGCUGUGAAGGAUGCAAAGGCUUCUUCAAGAGAACCAUCCGUAAAGACCUGACGUACACUUGUCGAGACAAUAAGGACUGCCAGAUAGACAAACGCCAGCGAAACCGCUGCCAGUACUGUCGCUAUCAGAAGUGUCUCGCCAUGGGCAUGAAGAGAGAGGCGGUCCAGGAGGAGAGGCAGCGCGGUCGGGAGAGGAGUGAUAAUGAAGUGGACUCCAGCAGCAGCUUCAAUGAAGAGAUGCCGGUGGAGAAGAUCCUGGACGCUGAGCUGGCAGUGGAGCCCAAGACAGAAGCUUACAUGGAGUCAAGCAUGAGCAACUCGACAAAUGACCCAGUGACCAACAUCUGCCAGGCUGCAGAUAAGCAGCUCUUCACGCUUGUUGAAUGGGCGAAGAGGAUCCCACACUUCUCUGACCUCCCUCUAGAUGAUCAGGUCAUCUUGCUGCGAGCAGGUUGGAACGAGCUGCUUAUUGCUUCAUUCUCACAUCGCUCAGUGACAGUUAAAGAUGGGAUUCUCUUGGCCACCGGCCUGCAUGUUCAUCGCAGCAGUGCUCACAGUGCCGGUGUGGGCUCUAUAUUUGACAGGGUAUUAACAGAGCUGGUAUCUAAGAUGAGGGAAAUGAUGGACAAGACGGAGCUGGGCUGUUUAAGAGCAAUCGUCCUCUUCAACCCAGAUGCAAAAGGACUAUCAAACCCAUCAGAGGUGGAGGCGUUAAGGGAAAAAGUGUACGCAUCGCUGGAGGGCUACACCAAACACAACUACCCGGAUCAGCCUGGAAGGUUUGCCAAGCUACUCCUGCGUCUCCCAGCUCUGCGCUCCAUUGGACUGAAGUGUCUGGAGCAUCUGUUCUUCUUCAAGCUCAUUGGAGACACACCUAUAGACACUUUCCUCAUGGAGAUGCUGGAAGCACCGCAUCAAAUUACAUGACACCAAUCCUGCCGCAUGUAAAUAAACCCCAGCGCACACUUUAUAACCCCUUUAUAACAACAAAGAAGUUCUUAUUUUCUACCAAGCACAAUGUGAAGAAGUAAAAAAUGCAAACACGCAAAAGAUUUGUAUCGGUAUUUUCCAAGAAAAAAGACACUGUUGAAGUAAAUUGUAUGAGUACUGUAAACCUUUAUUUUGUACAUAGAUUUUACCAGCUGUGAUAGCAGCAAGAAACUAAAUGUGAAAAUAUUUAAUUCAGUGCAAAACUGUGUAAACAGUCACCAGCAAUCAGUUUAGAAUUCUGUGAAGAUAAUUAAUAAUAAUAAUAAUAACAAAAGAAGUCGGUUAAAAUGUUUUGUUGUUGGUUAUUUUUGAAAUAACCAUUUGUGGAAUAAAUGUGAUUUUUCACAACUGUUUUUUUGUAUGAAAUAAAACCUGAAUUCCUUC
Non-coding RNA from Danio rerio (zebrafish), 1867 nucleotides. Ensembl annotates it as retinoid x receptor, gamma a. Its record names the gene rxrga. The record is from Ensembl. NCBI's taxonomy places the organism in Eukaryota, Metazoa, Chordata, Actinopteri, Cypriniformes, Danionidae.